This is a long non-coding RNA of Mustela erminea (ermine), 5737 nucleotides long. RefSeq lists it as uncharacterized. The transcript has 12 exons. NCBI's taxonomy places the organism in Eukaryota, Metazoa, Chordata, Mammalia, Carnivora, Mustelidae. The record is from RefSeq and is a predicted model, not a curated record.
GUUCACAGUCAAGCCCCAGACACAGGGCCAAUUCAUGUGAGAUAAGCACGGCCCAUUCUGGGCGCACAUUCCUCUCUGCUGGGAGGGGACCCGACAGACCUCCCGCCGCUUGGCCUUCUGCCAGCACCCCCUCCUCACCCCCAGGGCAGGCCCUCUGUGCACCUGGCUCUCGCUGCUCUGGGGAUGCUGAGUCAUGCAGGAAGAGAUCAGAGGCUGGGGCCCUUGGAGACCCCACGAACAGAGCACAAGUGCACGAACAGGAGGAGCAGUAGAGGGAGCUGUAGAGGCUGAGGGAGAAGCAGGCUCCCCACGGAGCAGGGCUCAUCAGUCCCAGGACCCCGGGAUCAUGACCGGAGCUGAAGACCGACGCUUAAUCGACUGAGCCACCCAGCUCAGCCUCACGACGUGUGAGUCAAGAAGGCUUCCUUACUUCAAGAUUCCUCACGGCCUCUGCUACGCUGCUGGACACCACGGAGCUCUGAGAAGGAGUAUUGCUUGCACAUACUGAGAGACAGACAAUGGCCGUGAUAAAGUUGGAAUGAUGAGUCCGCAAGUCUCCAGGCACAGUGUGGACGUGAUGAGAAACCUACAGCUCAGAGCAAUGAGUGUCUUCCCAGAGUCAAACCUAUUGUUUCACAAUGGAUUUGCCACCAGAACACAGAUAUGAAAACCAUCCCUAAAUCUAAGCCAAAAGGGAAAAGGAAAAGAUUCGUGUUAAUAUCAUUGUCUCUAGACACGUAGACUGGGACAGGCCUACCAGCACUCGAUCUCCAAAGUGGUGGGAUCAACAAAAAAAAACCACAGGAAAAUUGGAGCAGGAAGCUGCUGAGGUGGGAAGGGCUCCUUGAAGUAUGUCUGGGUCUCACCCCGAAAGUGGAAUGGAAGAUGGUAUCACCAUUGAUACACCCCCGUAGAAAUUCCAGACCAGCAAGUGGUACGCGACCAUCACGGGUGCCCCGGGACACAGACUUCACAGACGCACCUUCCACCGACCGGAUUUCUUGAUCGUUGCUGCUGGCGUUGCUGACUCUGAAACAGACAUCUCCGAGAGUGGGCAGAUCUGGGAGCGUGCCCUUCUGGCCUACACACUGGCUGUCAGACGACUCAUCGUUGGUGGUCACGGAGUGGAUUCCACAGAGCCACGCUCCAGCCUAAAGAGGGACAAGGAAAUCAGGAAGAAGUCAGCACCUGCAUUAAGGACUUGGCUACAAACCCAACACAGUAGCAUUUGUGUCCAUUUGUGUCCAGACUCUGUGUGGAAUGGAGACCACAUGCUGGGGGCAAGUGCAAACAUGCUCCGAUUCGAGGGCUGGCCAGUCAUCUGUAAAGACGGCAAUGCCAGUGGAGCCACGCUUCCGGAAGUUCUAGACUGCAACCUGCCACCAGUGGACAAGCCCUGGCAUCUGCUCCCCUGGGACAUCUGCAAAGUCAUGGUAUUGGUACUGUCCCUGCAGAGACGGGUGCUCCCAGACGGCACCUUAAUGGUCCCGCUGUUCUAGUCAACAGCACAGCUAAAGUAAACUCUGUUGAAAUGCUCAUUGAAUGAAGCCCUUCCUGGAGACAAGGGGGGGCCUUAAUGUCAAGAACAUGUCUGUCCCAGAUUUGUCGUGGCACUGCAGCUGGUGACGGCAAAAACGACCCACCAUUGGAAGCAGCGGGCUUUACAGCUCAAGUGAUCAUCUCGAACCAUCAAGGCCAAAUCAAUGCUGGCUGUGCACCUUGCUGGAUUGUCCUCUAAGCUCCUGUUGCUCACGGGUUUGUUGAGCUGGAAGAGAAGAUGAAUUGUCAUUCUGGGAAGGAGCUGGAAGAUGGCCACGAGUUCUUGAAAUCUGGCGUUGCUGCCGUUGUUGAUAGGGUUCCUGGCAAGCCCAUGCAUGUUGAGAGCCUCUCUGACUAUCCUCUGCCUCAUUUUGCUCUUCGUGACAUAACACAGAUGGCUGCUGUGGGCGUCAUCGAAGCAGUGGACAAGAAGGCAGCUGGAGCUGGCAGGGUCACCAAGUCUGUAAGCUCAGACAGCCAAAUGGAUAUUGUCCCUGAUACCACCACCACAGUCGUAAUCAGUGGUAGAAGAACGUCCCAGAACUGGCCAUUUAAGUUUAAUAAUAAAAGAGUGGUUCAUGAUAGUGCCUCGUAAAACCAUCGGAAGGACGCUCUCCAUCAUGCACGGGACUGUCGCGUUGUAUGAAGCCAGUGUAGCGUAGGUCAUUGUUUGAUGUCCUCCGCGACCUUUGUCCAGCAUUUGCUGUUUAAACUAGAUGACAUCCUGGCCAUCCUGACUCCUGAAAUCUAGGCAAGACUGCUUGUGGUCUCCACACACUUCAGCCUUGGGAGCUGCGUGCCCUCUCCACAAUUGCUGUGUGUCGCGGGGGCUGUUUCUCAUGACCACCUCUUCAUCCUGCUGCCCUUUUGUUCUCUUUGCUUCUGGCAGCUUUUUCUUUUUUGCCACUUGGGUUCUUGAGGUACCUUCCUUAGUUUUACACACAAACUACAAAUUUUCACACAAAAGGCUUCGUGUAGCAGAGUUUGCAGAAAGUUCAGAGAAAUUAAGAAAUAGAUGGGGUUGCCUUGCUGACCCAUAGGCCGUUAGAAUUGAGUCAUAGUCCCCCUGCUCUAUGAGUCUUUUGGCUGAUUUCCAUGUUGCUCAGACAUUCUCUUUACUUUCUGUUCCCUCCUUCCCACUACCACCAGCUGUUUUUUAAACACAAAGUGAUCCUGCUCUCCAUUUGUUCUGCCCAGACUUCUGAAUCUUGCUGUACACCUAUUUUUUUCAUACUCCAGCGCUCCGAGGAGCUUUCUUUAUUGAAGACCAUUUAUUCCCAAAAGGAAUUCUACUAUCAGCUGUUAAGAAAACAAUACGAUUUUUUUUUAAACCACCCACCAACGAAACCACAUGUUCUGAGGAGUACUCGCAGAGAAAAUCUCUCAAAAAGGAGCCAAUAAAAUAGGAAAUAAAUACACAUAACUCAGAAUUCCCUAGGGCCUUGCCACCUUACAAGAGCAGAGACCACACAUGGGGCGUGUAUAAGAGCUCGGCCUCUACAACCUGCUCCCCUUUGCCCGGGAACCCUGGGCCUGCUGUCCUGACAGACAGGAAGAAGGUAAAUACAACAGAAAUGUGCCUGGUACCACUAUGAAAAUGAUAUGAUUUACCAUCUGAGGGGGUAAGGUACCUGGUGGCAAAGAAGGGACAGUUACUAGGAUGACCACAGGCAAAAGAGAGCCCCCACCCCAAGGUUUCAGUCAGCUAGUUACGUUCUGGGCUUGAGUCACCAGGGUUCCGUGGUAACAUCUAACCGUCUUCUUGUUUGAUCUAUUUUAGCCUUACUCUCUUCCCACCCCCAAAACUCUAGGGUUCUCUGGGGUUUCCAUUGCUGACCAAAUGGAAAGUGUCAACACUCAGAACGCAACCGGCAGUGGAAAUCCAUGUACCUUCAUGUGAACAAAAAAGCUAGAACAAGAUCGAAGAGAAGGGACCUCCUUGUUCUGAAGCUGGAGCAAAAGAGGAGAAGCAGAUGCUGAAGAGGAUAAAUUUGCAGACACCAGUGCAGGACGUGGAAAGAAGAAAGUCCCUUAACCUCCCAUUUCUCGCUGAAGUAUGGGGCCCGCACCCGCCGCUCCAAAGAGGUCGUGGUUAGAGCACUGUGGAUGACAAGCCUCAAAAAGGGAGAAGCCUUUCCGUGGCCCAGAGAUGGAAAUCCCAGAUUAUGUAUGGCUCUACCCAGUGGGUGUCAGUGACAAGGAACGGUGGGAAGACACAGGCAGAAAGAUCAUGAGCUUGAAAGAUGAAGAGAAAAAUAAUUGUCCCUGCGGCUGCCAGACUUCGGUUGUAAACGAUUAUCAAGUGAGCCUGCUUGGAGCAAGAUGGAAUGGACCACCGAGAGCAACCUGCCCAUGGACGGGGUGACUUGCGGCUCACUAAGGUGAUUUAAUGCAUCAUUUUAAAAAAUGAUUUGGAAGAUACGUCCACCGGCAACUGAAUCCGAAACACACUUUCCUUCGUCUGAUGGAAGCACCAACAUCCUGGUCAGCCAUAGAUUUCCAUAAAAAAUACUCAAGUGUUUGCCACUCUUGAGCCACCGCUAAUUGGAUUCAUGAAUCCUUCCUGACACUGUCUCCGACGUGUGGCCAUUGGCCGAUGCACAGACCAUAUGCCGAGGAGGCCAAGAAGCUUUCCGCUGCUGAGACAGCCCGCUUCUUUUUCAGGAACCUGUAGUUGCCAUUGGCUUGUCUUCAUCCUGAGCCAAAACCCACUCCCUGUAAUUGUACUUCCCAGAGGGAAAAACACCCUAGGCCACAGGAGAGGUGGGCAGGUCACAAGGCGACGUGGGAUUUAAAAGGCCACAGAGCAACGAGGGUGCUUACACGUCUUCCUUGGGUUUCCUUUUCAUCAGAUACAUAAAAAUAAUCUAUGCAGGGAACGAAGACAAAAAUACUGACCUUGGGAACAAAAGGGAAUGGGGUGAAGGUGAAGCAGGCCUCCCUAUGAACAGGGAGCGUGUUCAUGCUUUUUUAUAAAUAAAGGAAGAGGGGGCCAAGGUCCAAAUUCUAAAUGACCCAAGGCUGCUUCUAGUAAUGAAAGAGAGAAUGUGAAAAACCCAAAUGAAUCACUGUCUUGAUUCAGGCGAGGAGGCCGACAGGGCCGUGAAAAAUGGGUCCCAGGAAGAAAGGUCGAGCCUGUGAAGACAAGUGUGGAGUCGUUUCAAACACAGCUUCUCUGUGCUCUGAUGAAAACCUUGCGGGUCCUUCUCUACAGGGAACACUCCCAUCACUGCCAGCCACCCUGGGAGAGGAAGCAGAGGCCGCCUCUGGAAAGAUAAGUUGUAAGUCAAGCGCUCUACAGAGUGGCCACCUGCCAAGGGUCAAGGGGUGGGUUGAAGGGCAUUCUCUUAUUGGCUCCUUUGUGUCCCGGGAGGGCAUGAAAUAUUUCUGGAUGUGUGUAAGGAGUGACAUUCUUUGGACAAAAGGGAGGGCAGCUCCCACUCUGACUGGCUGCAAACUUGAGCCAAUCUCUCCCGCUCUCUGUGGUUUACUGUGCUUGUCCCAGACCAAAAGGUAGAAGGAUGCAACUCAGGCCUUCUGUGGGGGUGCUGGCAUUUACUAUACUCGUAUUACUUUCUCUAUCAUGGAUGCUCUGCUCCCAAAAUUCUGAGAAGGGAAUAUGUAACCUUCCCUCCCUGAAUUGUCUCUGCCUAACAAAUAGCCAUGGUGACAGAUGACAUUGUUCGGGGACACCUGGGAGCCCCACAUUUGCUGUCAUCCCCAUCUAGGGUCUUUUAUUGUUCAGAGCCAAAACCGGUCCCAAGCUACUGAGAGGGUAAGCUGUGUCCAGAGAUCACACAUCUCUCACAAGACCUACUAUCAUCCCUCCUCCAGGGGAUCUGGGGACUUCCUAAACAAGUCCAAAGCCAAGGUCGGUUUUCUUCCUAUUUUAGGGUGACCUUACCCACAGUCCGUACUGGACCUGACAUGAUUACCUAAUGAGAGUUCCCAAGGGCUCUGAAACCAGAGACGAUCAGUGUACCAAGGAAUCUAGAAGUGACUACAGAGCUACCCACUUAGCUCAUUGGUGUCAGAGGACAGGUUCCAACUUGGUAGCUAACCAUGCUCAACCUCAGGUCUAAUUCGCACUCCUUAAAUAAAUGUUUCUUUUUUUGUAAAAUAUAUUUGUACCUCCUGGUUUCAAAACAAAAAGUAACAUCAGUUUAAAAGUUUGUAGUGACAUAUUGAUCCUUGACUU